Long non-coding RNA from Diprion similis, 150 nucleotides. RefSeq lists it as uncharacterized. The transcript has 3 exons. The record is from RefSeq and is a predicted model, not a curated record. NCBI's taxonomy places the organism in Eukaryota, Metazoa, Arthropoda, Insecta, Hymenoptera, Diprionidae.
AUGAUAUUUUGUCGGUCAAAUGGAAAAAGUUUUGAACAAUUUCGAUAUGAAUGAGCUUCUAUACGGUUAAGAUGAAAUUUUAAAUAAUUUUUAUAUGGAUUUCGUGGUAAACGAAUAAAAAGUGCAAUACGUGUGCCAUGUGUUACCUUU